GGGGUAGGGUUCUUCGGUAUCUGAGACCCGCCCCGGGUGCGUAACGCGUAUGCAAUCUACCUUUUACUAUGGGAUAGCCCAGAGAAAUUUGGAUUAAUACCAUAUAGUAUAUUUGAAUGGCAUCGUUUGAAUAUUAAAGAUUUAUCGGUAAAAGAUGAGCAUGCGUCCCAUUAGUUAGUUGGUGUGGUAACGGCAUACCAAGACGAUGAUGGGUAGGGGUCCUGAGAGGGAGAUCCCCCACACUGGUACUGAGACACGGACCAGACUCCUACGGGAGGCAGCAGUAAGGAAUAUUGGUCAAUGGAGGCAACUCUGAACCAGCCAUGCCGCGUGCAGGAUGACGGUCCUAUGGAUUGUAAACUGCUUUUGUACGGGAAGAAAACAAACUACGAGUAGUUAAUUGACGGUACCGUAAGAAUAAGGAUCGGCUAACUCCGUGCCAGCAGCCGCGGUAAUACGGAGGAUCCAAGCGUUAUCCGGAAUCAUUGGGUUUAAGGGUCCGUANGCGGCCUUAUAAGUCAGUGGUGAAGUUUUUGGCUUAACCAAAAAAUUGCCAUUGAUACUGUANGGCUUGAAAUAUCUGUGAAGUAACUAGAAUAUGUAGUGUAGCGGUGAAAUGCUUAGAUAUUACAUGGAAUACCGAUUGCGAAGGCAGGUUACUAACAGAUGAUUGACGCUGAUGGACGAAAGCGUGGGUAGCGAACAGGAUUAGAUACCCUGGUAGUCCACGCCGUAAACGAUGGAUACUAGCUGUUUGGUUUUCGGACUGAGUGGCUAAGCGAAAGUGAUAAGUAUCCCACCUGGGGAGUACGGUCGCAAGACUGAAACUCAAAGGAAUUGACGGGGGCCCGCACAAGCAGUGGGGCAUGUGGUUUAAUUCGAUGAUACGCGAGGAACCUUACCAGGGCUUAAAUGUAGAUUGACAGAUUUGGAAGCAGAUUUUUCUUCGGACAAUUUACAANGUGCUGCAUGGUUGUCGUCAGCUCGUGCCGUGAGGUGUCAGGUUAAGUCCUAUAACGAGCGCANCCCCUGUUGUUAGUUGCCAGCACGUAAUGGUGGGAACUCUAGCAAGACUGCCAGUGUAACCUGUGAGGAAGGUGGGGAUGACGUCAAUCAUCACGGNCCUUACGUCCUGGGCCACCCCG
This 1145-nucleotide ribosomal RNA is filed under the name uncultured Myroides sp. RNAcentral's name for it is "bacterial SSU rRNA". It matches the Rfam family "Bacterial small subunit ribosomal RNA", at positions 66 to 1222 of the family's 1533-position model. The record is from RNAcentral. Lineage: Bacteria; Pseudomonadati; Bacteroidota; Flavobacteriia; Flavobacteriales; Flavobacteriaceae.